RNAcentral lists this ribosomal RNA (253 nucleotides) under uncultured bacterium. RNAcentral's name for it is "partial 16S ribosomal RNA". It matches the Rfam family "Bacterial small subunit ribosomal RNA", at positions 524 to 776 of the family's 1533-position model. The record is from RNAcentral.
UACGUAGGGGGCAAGCGUUGUCCGGAAUCAUUGGGCGUAAAGCGCGUGUAGGCGGUCCGGUAAGUCCGCUGUGAAAGUCGGGGGCUCAACCCUCGGAUGCCGGUGGAUACUGUCGGACUUGAGUACGGAAGAGGCGAGUGGAAUUCCUGGUGUAGCGGUGAAAUGCGCAGAUAUCAGGAGGAACACCAAUUGCGAAGGCAGCUCGCUGGGACGUUACUGACGCUGAGACGCGAAAGCGUGGGGAGCAAACAGG